RNAcentral lists this ribosomal RNA (442 nucleotides) under uncultured bacterium. RNAcentral's name for it is "partial 16S ribosomal RNA". It matches the Rfam family "Bacterial small subunit ribosomal RNA", at positions 338 to 795 of the family's 1533-position model. The record is from RNAcentral.
CCUACGGGAGGCAGCAGUGGGGAAUAUUGGGCAAUGGGCGCAAGCCUGACCCAGCAACGCCGCGUGAAGGAAGAAGGCUUUCGGGUUGUAAACUUCUUUUAAGAGGGAAGAGCAGAGGACGGUACCUCUAGAAUAAACCCCGGCUAACUACGUGCCAGCAGCCGCGGUAAUACGUAGGUGGCCAGCGUUGUCCGGAUUUAAUGGGUGUAAAGGGCGUGUAGCCGGGCUGACAAGUCAGAUGUGAAAUUCCGGGGCUCAACCCCGGACCUGCAUUUGAAACUGUUUGUCUUGAGUGUUGGAGAGGCAGGCGGAAGUCCGAGUGUAGCGGUGAAAUGCGUAGAUAUUAGGAGGAACACCAGUGGCGAAGGCGGCCUGCUGGACGACAACUGACGGUGAGGCGCGAAAGCGUGGGGAGCAAACAGGAUUAGAUACCCCUGUAGUC